CACGCCUAGGUAUAUUAUCAAACAUCAGUUGUGAAUUGUGUGCAAUGUGUUAAUAAUAACUAUUCGGUAAACUUCUCAAACUUAAAAUUGCCCGCGACAUCCAUACAAUGUCAAGUUCACUAUCAUCUGCGGAUGUAGAUGGUGCUGGAGGGAUUUUAACUUCACCUAAUACAGUAUUAUCUGGUAUUAUUGUAUCUACUACUGGAAUACAACAUUCAUUUGAAUCUACACAUAAAUGAUCACCCAAUAAAGCAUGCAGUGGAUUUUGGGUUUCAGGAGGCACACGGUUAAGCUUACAAGCACAAUCCACUCUGUCCACUAUACCUGCAUUGUUCAUAAUGUCACAUUUCAAGUAUACAGGCUGGAAAAACACAAUAAUUCGUAAUUUUUAUAAGUAUUUUAUAUUAUAUAAACAUAUAAAAGUAGCAAGUAAAAUACCUGUAAUAUAAAUAAUAUUAUUAGUAAUAAUAAUGUGAAAAUAAUAUCUAGUGAACUAUGAUUAAAUGUUUUUAAUUGCACUAAUGCAGUCAAUAACUCCCUCAAUUAGAAUCUAAAAUAUUUAUAAUUAAAAAUGUUAAGAGGAUGUAAUACCAACAAUGUGUCUUACAAACAUACAGCAUAGAAAAUUUGUAUUCAGCACAACCAAUUUUGUUUUAAUAGCUUUAAUAUUAGAGUGAAUCAAACUUGAAGAUAAGAACAUUAUUUGUGUUUGUAAGUCAGUUUUUCAUAUUAAUUUUUAAAUUACAUGAGCAUUUUUAAAUCGUAAUAUUUUACAUACUGUUUGUAUAACCUUUGUAAUAAAUGAAUAACAUAUA
Long non-coding RNA from Metopolophium dirhodum (rose-grain aphid), 815 nucleotides. RefSeq lists it as uncharacterized. The transcript is spliced from 2 exons. The record is from RefSeq and is a predicted model, not a curated record. Lineage: Eukaryota; Metazoa; Arthropoda; Insecta; Hemiptera; Aphididae.